GUCUUCUGCAUGGCCUCCUGCUUGCUGCUUUCACCAUUGCUGGUGGAUGGCAUCUCUGCUGGGACAGAGGGGCAACUCACACUCCGGCCAGACUGGGCAGCACAGGUGCUAACGCGGCUUGGCUGUCACCUUCAAUGCAUCACCCGAGGCUGAGAGCCCCCCCUCGUCAUUCCUAGCUUGCAGCCUCACAAUUCCAUUUCCCCACCCAAAUACAUCCAUUUUAAUAUGCACAUCACAGGCAGGCAGCACAGUCACAAAGGAGCCCCACCAGCAGCAGUCCCCACAUGGUGGAACGGAUGGAUGACCAGCCACCAGCCUCGGCCUCUUGGCUCCCAACAGAUGGAUACUCAGCAGAGGCCUGGCACCGGAGUGCCACUGUCUAUGUGUCAGCUGUCUGUACCUCGGAAGCCACCUUCCAGGAGAGUGGUGGCCCGUAUCCGCUUCUGUCCACACCACUCAUACUCCUCAAAGCGGUUGUUGUUCUCAUGCUCGAUGUCCACAGCAUCAUCCUCAGCCAUGCAGGAGCCUUCCCUCUGUGAAGAGCAGAGCAGGAUCAUGCUGGGCCCAGGCCAUCCCCACCUGCUCCCCACAGUCUGCGACGAAGGCACAGCUCUAGCCCCAGCUGUGGUGUGCCAAGUGGGCCCUCAGCUCUAGGGCUCCUUUGAAGCAAACCAAUUUAGAGGUCAAAGACCUGGGCCUCUUCCCAAUAGUUUUCCACUGGAGCCCAAGGAGGGAAUGAGUGAGAGUGAAAGCAAAGGGAGAGAGCAGCGGACAGAAGGGAAGAAGCUGCUGAGACUACAUGGAGACCCCAAGAGCCCACAGAUUCAGGGGCAGUCAGCAGCUAGUGUCGGGGGAAGGGAGCGGGGAAGGAAGGUGGGUGGUGAUGGCCCCUCUACCUUAGAAAGGCAAUGCUCCACAUGCCUACUCAUCUCCUGCUCCGAUCCUGCCAGGGGGCGGUUGCACAGGGGACAUACCUGCCCUUCAUCUUGCUUCCUCCGUUUCAUUUUCCCAAUCCGAGCUGCACGGGGAAACCGAAAACAAAGCACAGAACAAGCACACGGUCACUGCAGCCCCCAGGGUCCCAGUGGAACUGACACAUUCUGACCUCUUGCCAGCCAUUGGCCUUUUUAUUCAGUGCCUGAUCUGGCCCUCAUCUUGAAGUACCUCCUGCUCCUUUGGGGACUGGGCUUUGCCAAGAGCACCUGGGGAGGAGACUGGUGCUAACUAAGCCAGUGAGUAAGUCCACUCUUUGGCCGAAGCUGGGGCAGGGUCUACCCAUACCUUUCUAUUUGCAGUGUUUAAUAAGAGUCCAAUGAGCGAAGACACUCCAUGUUGCUAGGUAUCUCUCCAGAAGGCCAAGACCAUGAACUCUUUUGGUGUCAGGAAAUAGAAGUCUAAAGAGCAUCUCUUGACUAGAACCUAACCCCUCCGGUUGCCUGACUUGGACUGCUGUUCACUCAUCAGCUAAAUCCUCUUUUGUUCCUGGGCCAAGAGCCCUGAGAUACAGCUCCUAGCACCCCACCUAGAAUCUUACCAGGAAGAAUUUCUCUGAGGUCCACUAAUCCCAUUUUACAGAAGAGGAGACUGAGGCCCAGUCAUAAAGGUAAGACAGUCUGGGUCAGACCUUUGGCAGCCAGGUCAGAAGGCUCAGGGAACCCUGAGAAGGCAGCCCUUAUUGUGCCCACCCGAACCUGUUUCAUCAUUUCUAAUCAGUACAGAGGGGCUGGCAGGCCCUGGAGGCAGAGGGCUGCCUGCCAUGUUGUCCCGCAGGGGGCUCAGUUCCAAAGUGCACACUCCAAGCCCACAACACUGCUAAUUAAUGCUGAGCGAUGCAAUCAUUUCUAAUUAGCUCACUAAUCCCUCUCUGUAGCCCUCCUGUCACUGAAGCAGGAAGGGGUCAAAACAAGAAACUCUGUUCCCUCUAGUCCCUUCCAGAAUGCCACAGCAGGAUCAGAGAUGGCUACCCUGCGACCAGACUGAUGGGGAGUGGGGAGAGCCAGCAAAGGAGGGAAAGGUUCCCCAGUGCAGGGCCAGGAAGAACUUUCUCAUGGACAGUGACCCUAAUGGGAAGCUCAUGAAUGCAAUCUAGGAGGGGAACACAGAUGAGAGCUGCUGUGUUACAAUUUAAGCUUCUACUGUGUGUCAGGCUCACAGCCUACUCAAGGUAGCUCAUUUCCUACCACUUGCUGAAGCUAGAUUGCAUUAUCCCUUUUUAACAGAUGAAGAAACUCGAAGCUUAGAGAGAUCAAGGUAGGUGUCCAAGUAGCUACAAAGUGGCAAAGGCAAGAUAGGAAACCAGACCUGACUUCAUAACCUUGAAUGCCCUUCUGUUCCAAGGGGACCCCCUAACUGAGCAGCAUCAACAAAGAUUGGUCCCAGUGAGUGUGCUAGGACUCCAGCUCCCGCCUGUUGUGAGCCUGAGGCAGGGAGCUACUCCAACUCCAAAACAGAGCAACCCCAGAAAGACCCAAACCAAAAGGAAGGCUACCAUCCUGCCAGAACUGGGCAUGGAGUUUGAGGAAACUUGGUCUGUAGCCCAGUCCAUCUCUUCAAUUUCCUGUGUUUUCACUAUAGGUGACAUGACUGUGUCCUAGCGCCCCACUUGACUUUGUGGACAAAGAUCGAGAACUCUUUGCUUUGGCUGCCCUAACUCUUGGAAUCUCAGAUCUAGGUAGCCUUGACACUCUAGAGCCAGGGCUGGGAUGGAGAAUGGACGUGAAACAUCAGAAAGGCAUUGAGCAAAGGACCCUGAGAGUUCUAGAAGUGUAGUGUGGAGCAGUGUGCCAACACAAAGCUUCCUCUCUACCAUGCCUACACCAAGGGAAUGCCUCCCUGGGGAAGAAGGUGCUGAUGAUACCACAAUGUUCAAUGAGGAAACGAAUCUCAUGGAAUGGUCAAGAAAGGCACAAUACUGGAUGCGCUCCUUGCUCAGGACACACAGGCCAGCAGAUGAUCCCUUGUCGUCCCUGGAAAGCACCCUGAUGGACUGGGCUUCAUCUGGAAAUUCUGAGGGAAGGCAGGUUUGGUUUUCACCUUCCCAUUCAUCUUCUAAAUCCUGAGUUAAGCUUACCAAAGUGUGGUAGAGAAAGUUCUGUUCUCUAUCCAGAGGCUACGUACGAGUAGGAAGAAUCAACGCAUUUGCCAAGGAGGUAGCAUGGCGUGGUUGGAGAAAACACGGGCUUUGGUGGGAAACAAACUUCAAUUGAAUCAUGGCUCAGUUACAUCCCAGCUGUGUACUUUUAAACAAACCACUUUCACCUCUCA
Molecule: long non-coding RNA, 3264 nt
Organism: Symphalangus syndactylus (siamang)
Lineage: Eukaryota; Metazoa; Chordata; Mammalia; Primates; Hylobatidae
Source: RefSeq, a predicted model, not a curated record